GAUGAACGCUGGCGGCGUGCCUAAUACAUGCAAGUCGAGCGAACAGACGAGGAGCUUGCUCCUCUGACGUUAGCGGCGGACGGGUGAGUAACACGUGGAUAACCUACCUAUAAGACUGGGAUAACUUCGGGAAACCGGAGCUAAUACCGGAUAAUAUAUUGAACCGCAUGGUUCAAUAGUGAAAGACGGUUUUGCUGUCACUUAUAGAUGGAUCCGCGCCGCAUUAGCUAGUUGGUAAGGUAACGGCUUACCAAGGCAACGAUGCGUAGCCGACCUGAGAGGGUGGUCGCCCACACUGGAACUGAGACACGGUCCAGACUCCUACGGGAGGCCGCAGUAGGGAAUCCUCCGCAAUGGGCGAAAGCCUGACGGAGCAACGCCGCGUGAGUGAUGAAGGUCUUCGGAUCGUAAAACUCUGUUAUUAGGGAAGAACAAAUGUGUAAGUAACUAUGCACGUCUUGACGGUACCUAAUCAGAAAGCCACGGCUAACUACGUG
Molecule: ribosomal RNA, 497 nt
Filed under: uncultured bacterium
Lineage: Bacteria
Description: partial 16S ribosomal RNA
Rfam family: Bacterial small subunit ribosomal RNA
Source: RNAcentral